This 484-nucleotide ribosomal RNA is filed under the name uncultured bacterium. RNAcentral's name for it is "partial 16S ribosomal RNA". It matches the Rfam family "Bacterial small subunit ribosomal RNA", at positions 30 to 507 of the family's 1533-position model. The record is from RNAcentral.
AUUGAACGCUGGCGGCAGGCCUAACACAUGCAAGUCGAGCGGAUGAAGGGAGCUUGCUCCUGGAUUCAGCGGCGGACGGGUGAGUAAUGCCUAGGAAUCUGCCUGGUAGUGGGGGAUAACGUCCGGAAACGGGCGCUAAUACCGCAUACGUCCUGAGGGAGAAAGUGGGGGAUCUUCGGACCUCACGCUAUCAGAUGAGCCUAGGUCGGAUUAGCUAGUUGGUGGGGUAAAGGCCUACCAAGGCGACGAUCCGUAACUGGUCUGAGAGGAUGAUCAGUCACACUGGAACUGAGACCCGGUCCAGACUCCUACGGGAGGCAGAAGUGGGGAAUAUUGGACAAUGGGCGAAAGCCUGACCCAGCCAUCCCGCGUGGGUGAAGAAGGUCUUCGGAUUGUAAAGCACUUUAGUUGGGAAAGAAGAGAAGAAAGUUAAUACCUUGCUGUUUUGACGUUACCAAAAGAAUAACCACCGGCUAACUUCGUG